UUGCAUGUGAUGUAAAUGCUGAAUUCAGAUCCUUAGAAGUGGGCGUAGGAAUUGUAAUAUUAAUAUUAAUAUUUUAUUAAAUUUUCUACUUUGGUGUUCUAAGCAUUUUCCUAUAAAUAGGGUGCUUAGGUUAGAAUUGAAAAUCACACCAGAAACUGAAGUUUUCUCUCUCUAUAUUAUCGAGCGUAUUCUUGUGAGUAUUUUGAG
Molecule: long non-coding RNA, 207 nt
Filed under: Panax ginseng (ginseng)
Lineage: Eukaryota; Viridiplantae; Streptophyta; Magnoliopsida; Apiales; Araliaceae
Description: long non-coding RNA (PGIN_LNC000038)
Source: RNAcentral